Molecule: non-coding RNA, 26 nt
Filed under: Arabidopsis thaliana (thale cress)
Lineage: Eukaryota; Viridiplantae; Streptophyta; Magnoliopsida; Brassicales; Brassicaceae
Also listed under: 5 other names
Source: RNAcentral
AUUAGUGACGCGCAUGAAUGGAUUAA